UUACUAGAGCAAAGGAUAGACAGCGCCCGCGGAGCUCGCUCCCGGGGCCACCCUACUCCGGUAGGGUUUAGAGUCGUCGGGCCUCUCGGAGAAGCUCGGUCCUGAACUCCACCCUUGAAUAAACUACCUUUGUUGCUUUGGCGGGCCGCCUCGUGCCAGCGGCUUCGGCUGUUGAGUGCCCGCCAGAGGACCACAACUCUUGUUUUUAGUGAUGUCUGAGUACUAUAUAAUAGUUAAAACUUUCAACAACGGAUCUCUUGGUUCUGGCAUCGAUGAAGAACGCAGCGAAAUGCGAUAAGUAAUGUGAAUUGCAGAAUUCAGUGAAUCAUCGAAUCUUUGAACGCACAUUGCGCCCUCUGGUAUUCCGGGGGGCAUGCCUGUUCGAGCGUCAUUAUAACCACUCAAGCUCUCGCUUGGUAUUGGGGUUCGCGGUUUCGCGGCUCCUAAAAUCAGUGGCGGUGCCUAUCGGCUCUACGCGUAGUAAUACUCCUCGCGAUUGAGUCCGGUAGGUCUACUUGCCAGCAACCCCUAAUUUUUUAAGGUUGACCUCGGAUCAGGUAGGGAUACCCGCUGAACUUAAGCAUAUCAAUAAGCGGAGGAAAAGAACCAACAGGGAUUACCUCAGUAACGGCGAGUGAAGCGGUAACAGCUCAAAUUUGAAAGCUGGCUCUUUUAGGGUCCGCGUUGUAAUUUGUAGAAGAUGCUUCGGGUGUGGCCCCGGUCUAAGU
RNAcentral lists this ribosomal RNA (728 nucleotides) under fungal sp. Its description in RNAcentral is "eukaryotic LSU rRNA". The stretch from base 238 to 391 matches the Rfam family "5.8S ribosomal RNA". Lineage: Eukaryota; Fungi. The record is from RNAcentral.